UCCUCCAUGAAAUUAGAUGAAGACCCGCUGCCUACCCCAACAAUUCCCCCUUUUUGUAUUUGUGCUACAAAUAUUGCAUGAGCAGCCUUCUGCAGGGCCCUUUGCAGGAGACUGAAAAGACAUGGCAACAUUAAAGCACACUUAUGAUGACUAACAGGAUCAUUCCAGUGGUUCUGAUCAAAGAGAUCAGCCAGCCCGAUAACCCCCAUCCUUUAAACAACUUUGUUAGCCAAUCGAGACCAUCAUCUUCUGUUAAAUGCUUAACACCAUCUUUUAACUGUUGUAUGCUCUUAUGGAUCGAUUCAGAAUGAUCUGCAGUUCCUGGGGAAACCUGGUUGCAGCGAGGAUUUAGAGUACCUUUCCUUAAAAGUUGGAAAUCCUACGCGAUGCGUCCAUCCAUAGGUGAGGCAUCCAGCAUCGCUGCAAGCAGAUCCAGUCUCUAAAUCAACAGGCCAAAAUAACUGGCAAUUUUCUUUGUGCAGAAACAUCUGAUUUCAUCCUCCUGUUGGGUUCCACCCAGAGCCUGGCCACCGCUCAAGGGGGAAAACCAAAGGAGUUUCUAAUAAGGUUAAACACUUGAGUUCUUAAUUCUUGAUAUUGGUAAGCAAAGUUAGUUGAAAACACACAUUCUUACAGCAUUUCAUCCUUAUUAAUAACUACAUUCCAUCUAAACUCCAUCUUUCACUAGUGACUGGUAAGCCUAUAUAUCUCAUUAAGGAGUUGCAAUUACUGUUAGCAUUUUCUCUUAAAAGAAUUGGCAACUGUAGUGUAGUUUGUUCUGUUGCAGUAGCAAACAUUACCCAGACA
Athene cunicularia (burrowing owl) is the source of this 807-nucleotide long non-coding RNA. RefSeq lists it as uncharacterized. The transcript has 3 exons. Lineage: Eukaryota; Metazoa; Chordata; Aves; Strigiformes; Strigidae. The record is from RefSeq and is a predicted model, not a curated record.